RNAcentral lists this long non-coding RNA (1074 nucleotides) under Canis lupus familiaris (dog). Its description in RNAcentral is "lncRNA (ENSCAFG00040020062.1)". The record is from RNAcentral. Lineage: Eukaryota; Metazoa; Chordata; Mammalia; Carnivora; Canidae.
AUGCUGAGCCCGAGUCAGGAGGGGUACGCAGCGCCCAAGCCCCGCCCGGAUGCCUCGUGCGCCGUGGGCUCCCCGUCUGCGCUCCGGGGAGGUUUCUCAUCGGACAGCCCUGGGCCCCUCCGCUGUGGCCGUUCCGCUUUCAGCCACUGGCGUAACCGGGCCCCUGACCAUCCCGCGCAGGGGGCUGCCCAAGGGCAUCCCAGGGUCCCUCCCGCAUCCCCUCUGCCCCCUUGCCCCGAGCUGGGGCGCGCGCUAGUUUCACGCGCGGCGAUCAGCGCCGAACUCGCGGCGGGGUCCCGGGACGGGACCCGGGGACCCGCGCGUGGCUCUAGGGGAACCAGUCCUGGGCCGCGGUGCUCACACAGCCUCAGUUCUGGGCCGGCCUGGAUCGGACCAGUUGGGAAGACCCAGCUGGGCGCGAGGCGUCGUCCCAGCCUGCGGGCGGCGGGGCGGGCCGGGCCGCGCCGCGCGCCUUUGCGCACAGUGGCCACUUGGGGUCGCACUUUAUGUCUGUUUGAGACUCGCGUCGGGCUGACGCCGCGAUCUGCUAAAUCGUUACAAAACGUUCAAACAAAAACAGGGUCGGUUCCCCAGCAGCCGCGAGCCGCCCGGAGCACCGUCCUGCACCGGCCUCAGCCCCAGGCCUCGGGAGCUCGGGCUCCGCGCGUCCGGCUGCGGAGAGGAAUUCAGAGCCCUCCGGCCGAUUCCUCCGCCGCCCCGUCCUCCUUCUGCUUCUGUGGGUGGGGCGGGCGCGGGGAGCGGCGGGGCCCCGGGAGUCCUGUCUCCGGCUCGGCCGCGGCCGCCGCACCCGCCGGGCGGGGAGCGGCCCCUGCUGGGCCCGAGGAGGGUCCCCCGGGGCUGAGGCUUGGGUCUGAACACAACUCUUGGAGCCGCAAACCCACCCCCAAGACGCAAAUACGCGCAGCCCCGCAGAAGCGCAGCCAGGCACGGCCCGCACCCCCGCGGCCCGCAGCAGCCGCGCGCCCACGGGACGUGCCCCACCGGGCGGGGGCCGCGGGGAACAAAGGGCUCGGGGGGGGGUCGCGGCGCUCCUCGCGGGCCUCCUGGGGGUGA